This 513-nucleotide ribosomal RNA is filed under the name uncultured bacterium. Its description in RNAcentral is "partial 16S ribosomal RNA". It matches the Rfam family "Bacterial small subunit ribosomal RNA", at positions 28 to 523 of the family's 1533-position model. The record is from RNAcentral.
GAUGAACGCUGGCGGCGUGCCUAAUACAUGCAAGUCGAGCGAACAGACGAGGAGCUUGCUCCUCUGACGUUAGCGGUGGACGGGUGAGUAACACGUGGAUAACCUACCUACAAGACUGGGAUAACUUCGGGAAACCGGAGCUAAUACCGGAUAACAUGUUGAACCGCAUGGUUCAACAGUGAAAGACGGUCUUGCUGUCACUUAUAGAUGGAUCCGCGCCGCAUUAGCUAGUUGGUAAGGUAACGGCUUACCAAGGCAACGAUGCGUAGCCGACCUGAGAGGGUGAUCGGCCACACUGGAACUGAGACACGGUCCAGACUCCUACGGGAUGCGGCAGUAGGGAAUCUUCCGCAAUGGGCGAAAGCCUGACGGAGCAACGCCGCGUGAGUGAAGAAGGUCUUCGGAUCGUAAAACUCUGUUAUUAGGGAAGAACAAAUGUGUAGGUAACUAUGCACGUCUUGACGGUACCUAAUCAGAAAGCCACGGCUAACUACGUGCCAGCCGCCGCGGUAA